This is a long non-coding RNA of Etheostoma spectabile (orangethroat darter), 134 nucleotides long. RefSeq lists it as uncharacterized. NCBI's taxonomy places the organism in Eukaryota, Metazoa, Chordata, Actinopteri, Perciformes, Percidae. The transcript has 3 exons. The record is from RefSeq and is a predicted model, not a curated record.
UCCAAAAUGAAAAAGAUUUUUGAGGCAAUGCAGCUGAGAACACAUACUUAUGAUGCCUUCAGAAGACAUGCCAGGACAUACCUGGAACCAGCUAUAAUCCACAAAUUGACUGAAUGGCAAAUACAAAAGCUUAA